CGCUCGCCGGUGCGCUACCGCGAGAACCCAAUGGCAUACGAGCCUCCGGUGAUGUGCCACUGCUCAACUCCCAGGAAGGCGCCAAGAUGGAUCUCCUGGAGCAGGCAGAACCCUGGUAGGAGGUACUACAGCUGCGUGGAUGCUAUGGUGAGUGCUGUUUUUUGCCCUAAUUUUCUUCCUCUUUCUUCUGUGCAAUAA
This 198-nucleotide ribosomal RNA is filed under the name Triticum aestivum (bread wheat). Its description in RNAcentral is "partial small subunit ribosomal RNA". Lineage: Eukaryota; Viridiplantae; Streptophyta; Magnoliopsida; Poales; Poaceae. The record is from RNAcentral.